This 305-nucleotide ribosomal RNA is filed under the name uncultured bacterium. RNAcentral describes it as "bacterial SSU rRNA". It matches the Rfam family "Bacterial small subunit ribosomal RNA", at positions 333 to 655 of the family's 1533-position model. The record is from RNAcentral.
GUGUACCUACGGGGGGCAGCAGUGGGGAAUAUUGCACAAUGGGGGAAACCCUGAUGCAGCGAUGCCGCGUGAGGGAAGAAGGUUUUCGGAUUGUAAACCUCUGUGGAGGGGGACGAUAAUGACGGUACCCCUUUAGGAAGCCACGGCUAACUACGUGCCAGCAGCCGCGGUAAUACGUAGGUGGCGAGCGUUGUCCGGAAUUACUGGGUGUAAAGGGAGUGUAGGCGGGAAAGCAAGUCAGAAGUGAAAACUAUGGGCUUAACCCAUAGCCUGCUUUUGAAAUUGUUUUUCUUGAGUGAAGUAGG